GUGCUUGCUUUGGCAGGGCACAUAAAAAAAAAUUGGAAUGACAAGAGAUUAACAUGGCCCCUGCACAAAGGUGACAACCAAAUUUAUCUAUUUAAUUUUUCUAUUUUU
Small nuclear RNA from Rhinopithecus roxellana (golden snub-nosed monkey), 108 nucleotides. NCBI's taxonomy places the organism in Eukaryota, Metazoa, Chordata, Mammalia, Primates, Cercopithecidae. The record is from RefSeq and is a predicted model, not a curated record.